UACGUAGGUGGCAAGCGUUGUCCGGAUUUACUGGGCGUAAAGAGCGCGCAGGCGGUCGUUCAAGUCGCGUGUGAAAGCCCCCGGCUCAACUGGGGAGGGUCACGCGAUACUGAUCGACUCGAAGGCAGGAGAGGGAAGUGGAAUUCCCGGUGUAGCGGUGAAAUGCGCAGAUAUCGGGAAGAACACCCGUGGCGAAGGCGGCUCUCUGGGACGGUACUGACGCUGAGACGCGAAAGCGUGGGGAGCGAACAGG
Molecule: ribosomal RNA, 253 nt
Filed under: uncultured bacterium
Lineage: Bacteria
Description: partial 16S ribosomal RNA
Rfam family: Bacterial small subunit ribosomal RNA
Source: RNAcentral